Long non-coding RNA from Microtus oregoni (creeping vole), 589 nucleotides. RefSeq lists it as uncharacterized. NCBI's taxonomy places the organism in Eukaryota, Metazoa, Chordata, Mammalia, Rodentia, Cricetidae. The transcript is spliced from 3 exons. The record is from RefSeq and is a predicted model, not a curated record.
CUCAGCAGACUAUCAGCUUCCAAAAGCUGUGGCCUUUUCCCUGCUCUGCUGGGACCCACCUGCCUGACGUCCCUGUCAGUUUGUUUGCUGUUUCAUUUUGCUCUUAUCUCUGCCACAAAGUCAGGUGGACAGAUUUUGGAAUAGACUUCCAGAAGUGAGCCUUAAUGAAAUAUGAAGAAGACUAAAACCCCUAAAGUCAGGGUCUGAAGGCCCGGGAAGCCCAGAAAAGACCUCAAAUUGUGUUUUUUUCAAAAUGGUCAGAGGACUGUGCCCAGGCACCAAGACAAGGCGUUUGGAGAGAAUGAGAGUCAUCUGGAAGGAACUGGGGAUGAUGGGAAGCUGUGCUCAAUUUAAUUUACAGAUUCCAUAAAGACUGACAUGUGAGUGUCCAGAGACUGCGACAUCAGGAAUGGUGGGAUAUGCCUGUGAUUCUAGCACCAGAGAGCUGAUGGCUGAGGAUGGCUCGAGUUCCUUUGGGAAUACCCAGCUAACUAUAGCUGCAGUGUAAGACCAUGCCGAAAAAAGAAGAGGGAAUGGAGAGAAGCAUCUCCCUGAAGGCUCUGUAUAUUGGUCUGUCCCCUCCCCCCGA